This 253-nucleotide ribosomal RNA is filed under the name uncultured bacterium. RNAcentral describes it as "partial 16S ribosomal RNA". It matches the Rfam family "Bacterial small subunit ribosomal RNA", at positions 524 to 776 of the family's 1533-position model. The record is from RNAcentral.
GACAGGGGUGCCGAGCGUUAGGCGGAAUCACUGGGCUUAAAGCGUGUGUAGGCGGGCGAUCAAGUACCUUGUGAAAUCCCACGGCUCAACCGUGGAACCGCUGGGUAUACUGGUUGUCUUGAGCCGGCUAGGGGCGAGCGGAACAGACGGUGGAGCGGUGAAAUGCGUAGAUAUCGUCUGGAACGCCGAAGGUGAAAACAGCUCGCUGGGGCCGCGCUGACGCUGAGACACGAAAGCCAGGGGAGCGAACGGG